UACAGAGGUCCCAAGCGUUGUUCGGAUUCAUUGGGCGUAAAGGGUGCGUAGGUGGCGCCGUAAGUGGGGUGUGAAAUUUCGGAGCUUAACUCCGAAACUGCAUUCCAUACUGCGGUGCUUGAGGACUGGAGAGGAGAGUGGAAUUUACGGUGUAGCAGUGAAAUGCGUAGAGAUCGUAAGGAAGACCAGUGGCGAAGGCGGGUCUCUGGACAGUUACUGACACUGAGGCACGAAGGCCAGGGGAGCAAACGGG
This 253-nucleotide ribosomal RNA is filed under the name uncultured bacterium. Its description in RNAcentral is "partial 16S ribosomal RNA". It matches the Rfam family "Bacterial small subunit ribosomal RNA", at positions 524 to 776 of the family's 1533-position model. The record is from RNAcentral.